Streptomyces sp. MBRL 601 is the source of this 141-nucleotide non-coding RNA. The record is from Rfam. NCBI's taxonomy places the organism in Bacteria, Bacillati, Actinomycetota, Actinomycetes, Kitasatosporales, Streptomycetaceae.
CGCACCGGUACAGUGACCGGGUCGUCGUCAGGACCGUGUGAGGGGAAGCCGGUGGGAAUCCGGCGCUGACCCGCAGCCGUGAGCCGCCCGUGAGAACGGGCCGGCGCAGCCGGAAUGCCUCACCGGACUCAUGACCGCUCA